Molecule: long non-coding RNA, 365 nt
Organism: Camelus dromedarius (Arabian camel)
Lineage: Eukaryota; Metazoa; Chordata; Mammalia; Artiodactyla; Camelidae
Exons: 3
Source: RefSeq, a predicted model, not a curated record
CACAGCAGGUGGCAAGUCUCACUGCACAUCCCUCAAAGUGCAUCCUCACCUAACUGCUCACGUCGGUUUUCCACAGAGCUGACCAUUAAGAGAAGAGGCUUCCCCCAUGAAGCAGGAGCAUCCUCUGGUAAAGAACAUCACCUACAUCUGUGAACAAUUGCUAAAAAUAGUUCUAAGUUUCAGGUGUUCACCAUGGUGAUUCAACAUUUAAAUGUAUUAUGAAAUGAUCACUUACAAGGUAAGUGCAGUGACUGUCUGUCACCAUACAAAGUUAUUGCAAUAUUUUGACUCUGUUUUCCUUACUCUGUAUAUCACAUCCCAUGACAUUUAUUUUAUAACUGAAAGCUUGUACCUCCUUCACCCAU